This 550-nucleotide ribosomal RNA is filed under the name uncultured bacterium. RNAcentral's name for it is "bacterial SSU rRNA". It matches the Rfam family "Bacterial small subunit ribosomal RNA", at positions 355 to 897 of the family's 1533-position model. The record is from RNAcentral.
UCGAGAAUCUUCCGCAAUGGGCGAAAGCCUGACGGAGCGACGCCGCGUGUAGGAUGAAGGCCUUCGGGUUGUAAACUACUGUCACGGGUUAUGAAUGUAUUGAUGUUAACAGCGUCAGUAUUGACGUAAGCCUGGAAGGAAGCACCGGCUAACUCUGUGCCAGCAGCCGCGGUAAUACAGAGGGUGCGAACGUUGUUCGGAAUUACUGGGCAUAAAGCGUGCGUAGGCGGCGGCGUAAGUGUAGGGUGAAAUCCCACGGCCCACCCGUGUGAACAGCCCCGCAUACUGCGUUGCUUGAGUGUGGUAGGGGAGAGCGGAACUCCUGGUGGAGCGGUGAAAUGCGUAGAUAUCAGGAGGAACACCGGUGGCGCAGGCGGCUCUCUGGUCCACAACUGACGCUGAAGUACGAAAGCUAGGGUAGCGAACGGGAUUAGAUACCCCGGUAGUCCUAGCCGUAAACGAUGGGCACUAACUUGAGGUCUCCCUGUGGGAUCUCAGGUGAAGCAAAUGUGAUAAGUGCCCCGCCUGGGGAGUAUGGUCGCAAGGCUAA